CCUAACCCACGGUCUCCUAGGCAUCAUCAUUACUAUCAUUUUUCUUCCUAAACAAGCUAGAAUUCCAUGAGAGAAAACCAAGACAACUUCCAUGAACACCUGAGCUUCAAUCUCCGUUCUUUCUCAAACUAAAACCUCUAUCAAAAAUCUAAUCCGACCAAAGUAUUCAUCUCUUCCUCCUCUUCAUUUCUAUGCCAAUCUUCAAAGAGUAAAUCAAGGAUCUCUUGUUCAACCACCAUAGGCUCUAAGUAAACGUGAUUUCUAGCUGCUUUAAGGCGUAAAAGUGCUUUUGGAAGCUUGUUUUUGGCUCAACUUUUGGCAGCAGCAAAGGAGGUAAGGUUUGGUAAAUUAAUCAAUGAUUGGCUGUGUU
Long non-coding RNA from Arachis ipaensis, 370 nucleotides. RefSeq lists it as uncharacterized. Lineage: Eukaryota; Viridiplantae; Streptophyta; Magnoliopsida; Fabales; Fabaceae. The record is from RefSeq and is a predicted model, not a curated record.